RNAcentral lists this unclassified non-coding RNA (253 nucleotides) under uncultured Chaetothyriales. Its description in RNAcentral is "sequence contains 5.8S rRNA gene, ITS2, 28S rRNA gene". The stretch from base 1 to 52 matches the Rfam family "5.8S ribosomal RNA", at positions 103 to 154 of the family's 154-position model. The record is from RNAcentral. Lineage: Eukaryota; Fungi; Ascomycota; Eurotiomycetes; Chaetothyriales.
AACGCAUAUUGCGCCCUUUGGUAUUCCGAAGGGCAUGCCUGUUCGAGCGUCAUUAUCACCGUGUCAAGCUUGGCUUGUUGUUGGGCCCUUUGUCACCUGGUGACAGGUCCAAAAUAUAAUGACCGGUGUCGUACCGACUCUAUAUGCAACGAGCUGAUCACAGCACGCAUCUGGCAGUCGUACGGCCCGGUCUUCACCCCUCUAUUUUCUCAAGGUUGACCUCGGAUCAGGUAGGAAUACCCGCUGAACUUAA